UAGGAUGUAACUCAGUGGUAAAGCACUUGCCUAGCAUGCAAGAGACCCUGGGUUUGAUCCCCAGUACUUCAG
This 72-nucleotide transfer RNA is filed under the name Urocitellus parryii (Arctic ground squirrel). RNAcentral's name for it is "Spermophilus parryii (Arctic ground squirrel) tRNA". It matches the Rfam family "tRNA". Rfam says of the family: Transfer RNA (tRNA) molecules are approximately 80 nucleotides in length. Their secondary structure includes four short double-helical elements and three loops (D, anti-codon, and T loops). Lineage: Eukaryota; Metazoa; Chordata; Mammalia; Rodentia; Sciuridae. RNAcentral also lists the same sequence under 1 other name. The record is from Rfam by way of RNAcentral.